Molecule: ribosomal RNA, 497 nt
Filed under: uncultured bacterium
Lineage: Bacteria
Description: partial 16S ribosomal RNA
Rfam family: Bacterial small subunit ribosomal RNA
Source: RNAcentral
GGGGGGGGGGGGGGGGGGGGCGGGGGGGGGGGGGUGGAGCGGGGGGAUCAGGGGGGGGCUGCUUUGAGGUGAGCGGCGGACGGGGGAGUGAGACGUGGGUAACCUACCUAUGAGACUGGGAUAACUUCGGGAAACGGGCGCUAAUACCGGAUAACACUUGGACCCGCAUGGUUCUAAGGUGACAGCUGGGUUUGCUCUCACUUAUAGAUGGCCCCUCUCCGUAUUAGCUAGUUGGUAAGGUACCGGCUUACCAAGGCACCGGUACGUAGCCGACCUUAGAGGGUGAUCGGCCAUCCGGGAACUGAGACACGGUCCAGACUCCUACGGGAGGCAGCAGUAGGGAAUCUUACGCAAUGGGCGAAAGCCUGACGGAGCAACGCCGCGUGAGUGAUGAAGGGUUUCGGCUCGUAAAACUCUGUUAUUAGGGAAGAACAAACGUGUAAGUAACUGUGCACGUCUUGACGGUACCUAAUCAGAAAGCCACGGCUAACUACGUG